Canis lupus familiaris (dog) is the source of this 1905-nucleotide long non-coding RNA. RefSeq lists it as uncharacterized. The transcript is spliced from 4 exons. The record is from RefSeq and is a predicted model, not a curated record. Lineage: Eukaryota; Metazoa; Chordata; Mammalia; Carnivora; Canidae.
AAGCACGAGAGAGGUGGCUCUUUGCCCGGAGGGACAGAGCCUGCUCACAAGAUUUUGUCCUCUCUGACGGUAAGGACACAGGCUUAGGAGUCCUGAUCCAGGCCCUGGGGUUUCAGCGCAACUAAAUAAAGCUCCUGGCAUACCGAGGGCCUGGAGGUGGGGCUGCUGGAGGAGCCCUGGGGCUUUCCCCUCAUUCCUGGGGUGGGGGUGGGGGAGCCUCCAGGGCAUUCUCGCCCUGUCUCCAGAACUUGCCUGAAUCCAGUCUCCUGCGUUUCUGACCCCGCUGCCGGGGAUCCUGUAACCCCAGCAGCACAGAGGCCUGUUCCACGGAGGUGCGGUGAUUUUAGGGGGCCUCACCUCGUCCUGUCAACAAGAAGGACCUGCCAUCGUGGUGAGAGCGUGGAUCCUAAAAUCACUUCCCCCUCCCUCCCACCUCCUCUCCCGCCCCCACACGCCUGCCUGCUCCCACAGAGAAGUCAUGUGAGGCCUUCUCAGAUUGAGCACAGGAACGAGCCAGUGGCCCAGCUCUGCCCUGUGACACACAUAGCCUCCAGCGGUCACAUGGCCUCCAGCUGCCACCACCUGCCCUCUGUCCCCAGCCCAGUGCCCUCUCCCUGGCCGGCUUCCCUUGUCCCUCCAGGCUGUAAGCUUGGCAGAUAGCAGGACGGAGGGACCGAGGUUUCAGGGCCAACAGGCUUGGACGGUUCUGGUCCUAGCUGACCUGAAGGUGGGACCCCAUCCAGUAGUCUCCUCCACACCACGUGGGGUGCCCCACUGAGAAGUAGGUGCCCCACUGGCUGGCUGCAGACGUGGAUGGAGCUAUUUGCAGCCGGAUCCUGCAGCCAGCCCCAACCAGAGCCCCCACGAACAGGGAGCUUGGCCAUUGGAGACAAGGUGUAAAACAAGGCUGUGCGAGGAGCCAAGAGCACCAUCCAGGAAAACCACUGAAUUUGCUGGUGAAAGGAAAGUACAGGAAAAAAGUGAAAUGCCAGACCUGCAUUGAGUUUCCCUGUCAUUUGUCAUAGCUCAGUGUACUCUGCAUCCCACAAAAGAUUGUGACUCGUGGAAGAUAAGGACUUACUGAAUUCAUCUCAGUGUCCCCAGCGCCCACUGGACAAACAGCCUCGCAAGUGUAAAUGUGCUGAAUCCCAGAGAAGAUUCAAGCCCUGACUCUGCCACUUGCCGGGGUCAGGUACAGCCUGCAUUAGAAGCUGGUGAAAAAUAGAAUCUUCGCCUUGCCCGGUCACCACAAAGGUCAAGUGAGGCUGGAGAAUGCAUCUGGGUAGCCUUCUUGCUCUAAUAAACUUCUGGAAGCUCCAUGGUCCACUCCCAUCUCCAGCCCAGCACUGAGCCAGAAGAUGGUAUUGAAAUGUGACCCAGUGUUCCUGAUCAGCCCCCAGCACCACCCUGCUGGGUCCAGACAUGUAUGGCUCCGCUGAAUCCUGCAGAAAGGACCUGUGGUCUUUGGCAAAUGGAAAGAUCCUUCCCCAUUUUCCUGCACAUUUCCCGUCACACUACAUUCCUUUGGACUUUUAAUGACAUUUUGCAUGAGAGGGGUGCAAAAUGCAUAUAUUUGUAUUCCAUCUUAUAUCCCACCAAAGUUUUUAAGUUAGGUAGGUUUCUUUUAAGAAACAUUUCUGACUGGGGAAUGCUCAUUACCAUGAUCCUUUAGAAGCGAAUACUUAUUCUCUCACCAUUGGGUUUGAAUCUCCGCUCCUCCAACUACUGCCUGCGUGAGUUUGAACCGAUGACUUGAUGUCUCCAAAUCAGUGUUCUCAUCUGUAAAGUGGGAACAAUGCCAUUUUCUACUCAGGGUGACUGUAAACUUGAGAAAUAAUUGCAGAUUGCUCAUAAUAGGCACUCAAUAAACCACUGGCCUCCUGUGUACAGGGGAGGCAUAAUGUA